GGCCGAUUCCGCCAUUUCCACCCCGUCAUCUCGCACUCGCCGCCCAGUUCCGCCAAAAUCCCCUGUCAGCCACUCAUCCUCGUCGUCAUCUCACGCCGCCCUCCCCGCACGGCUCCUUUCUCGAUUCCCACCGCGACCCACCCAGAUCCCCCGCACGGCUCCUCCUCCUCCCCCUCACCUCCCCCUCUCCAACGACCCGAAUCCAGGCGGAUUCCGCUCGUGACUGCCACGGCACCAAUGCGAUGACCACGCCGUGCCCGGGCGCCGCGGCCCUGCGCGCCCGCUGGACGGCGCGGUCCCUGGCGGGGGCGCUCCUCGACCUCGCCCUCGCCUGGGCCUGCCUCUGCCUCGCCGCGCUCGCCGCCGCCUUCACCCUCCUCCGCCUCCCGCUCCCCUGCACCUGCGCGCGCCCGCACCUCCCCUGCCUCCUCGCCUUCCUCGCGCGCUACCCGCCCCGCGCCCUCGCAUCCAUCCACGCCGCCCUCCGCGCCCGCUUCCCCUUCGCCGGCCCCACCACCGCCGACCACCCGGAGGAGGAAGCCGCGGAGGAGGAGAAGGAGCGGGCCGCCGCCGGCGGUGCGGAGGAGGAGGCGGAGGCGUGCGCGGAGCUGCAGCGGGAGCUCGAGAAGGAGCGCAGCGCCGCGGCGUCGGCGGCCGAGGAGGCCAUGGCCAUGAUCCUGCGCCUGCAGAAGGACAAGUCCGCGCUCGAGAUCGAGGCCCGCCAGCAGCGCCGCACCGCCGACGAGCGCUGCGCCUUCUACGAGGACGAGGUCGAGGAGCUCAGGGACAUCGUCCUCCUGCGCGAGCGGGAGGCCCGCGCGCUCCGCAAGGAGGUCGACGCCUACCGCCGCCUCCUCGGCCUCGGCCCCGCCCAGGACGCCGGCUGCGACGACGAGGAGGAGGAUGACGACGACCAGGAGAUGGUCACGCCGCACAGCAUGCUCAUGUCCGAGGGGGAGCCCAGCUCCUCCAGAUCGGUCGAUGCGAGUCUGAUCAUGCAGCAGCGGUUGGGGAACGAUUCGGGGUUCAGCUUCAAGACGCCCUUCUUCCGUGAGCAAUCCGUGGUGCCGCCUGUGAUUGGGGACCGUGGCAAUGGGGGAAGCGAGGACGGCAUCGCUGUUCAGACACCCGCCAAAGCUACCGCCGUUCAAUCGAGGCUGGAGCUCAGCAGCACUGAGGAUGAGGAUGGGGCAGAGACAGAGGAUGAUGGAGCAGAAACGGUGGAAAUCCUCCCCCUGUCUGCCCGGAGUCAAGAUUUGGAUCAGGGUUGCGAUUUACAUGUUGAUGCCGCUCCUGGUAUGGAAUCUACCAAGGAGCAGACACCUCAUGGAUUUCAGGAGGUAGGGUGUGGGGGUAUAGAUAAGAUUGGCUGUGAUCAUACGGGAAGUGAGAAUGAUGCAAAUGUCUAUGAUGUGCAUGUAGUUGAUGACAUUUGCUUCUCAACAGAAGCUAAAGGCCUGAUUGGUCGAAGCUUCUCAGAUGCAACAAUGCAAGCAGAGAAAUUACAGACUCGAGCUGCGGCUGAUGAUCUCCUUGGGAAAAGUCUGAAUGCCAUUAAAGGUGCACAGGACAAGAUAAGGCAUGCAGCAAGUGAAAGGAGGCAGUCAUUACAGUUGCAACUCUUAGAGGACAUAGCUAAUCAACUUCAAGGAAUCAAGGAUGCUGCAGAAGCAGGGCGACACGUAUACUGUGCUCCUCCUAAAAGCUCCAAGAAAAGCUAGAAAUCACAUCUGGUAGAAGCUUGAAUCUAUAUUACAAGCAACACUGAGGCAGUCAGUGCUUGAGGCCUAUUAGAGCCUGCUAAUCCAUAUGAUUAAAUCUCCUCAGAAGCUAUCUUGCUCAUCUGGGGAAAGAACAGGAGGCUGUUAGGCAAGCUAUUUAAAGGAGAUCAGCUUGUGAGGAGAGGAAUAUUGUGUCGCGAAAACACGAUUGGCUGUGUAAAUAUUGUUUUGGUUUGUAGUCUAGUCCACUGAUUUGUUGAUUCAUCAAGUUUUGCUUGUUGUUUUAAGUAAAUGUGGAUAAUUAUUUUGUACAUGUUUAUAAACAAACAGGGGAUCCAUUUUGCUGUUUGUAACCCUGUGAUAUAUGUGUGCUGCGAACUGUAUAAUCCUGGCUAUAUGAGUUGUGUUGGGGAACUAUGGGCUGGUAUAACAUGACAGAAAUGAAAGGUUUACCCCAUUGUUUGGAGGAA
This is an RNA transcript of Setaria italica (foxtail millet), 2191 nucleotides long. RefSeq lists it as uncharacterized. The record is from RefSeq and is a predicted model, not a curated record. The transcript has 4 exons. NCBI's taxonomy places the organism in Eukaryota, Viridiplantae, Streptophyta, Magnoliopsida, Poales, Poaceae.